This 2290-nucleotide long non-coding RNA is filed under the name Drosophila guanche. The record is from RNAcentral. Lineage: Eukaryota; Metazoa; Arthropoda; Insecta; Diptera; Drosophilidae.
AGGCAACCACGCAAAUAGGCUGGGUGCCCCCUAUAACGACUUCUGUCGUAACUGUAGAGACGAAGAUGAGGAGGAGGCAGAAGAAAAUCUGUUCUGAUCCUGUCCGGCUCUCAGUAGAAGGAUGUUAAGAUGUCUGGGAUCACCUUUUCUAAACGACAUUUCAGAAAUGGCUACUAUAGGCCCCAGGAAGAUAUCAAACUUUGUGAGAGGAAACCCAACAACAAAACACUUGAACAUUGUCCCAGAGUAGAGCGGGAUUAUUCAAACAUAAAAUCAAAUUAAAAUGGAACAAGGAUCAGGAAAUAGCGGUGGUAAGUAAUAUACAUGUUAUAUUUUAAUUGUUGUUACAAAAUAACAUUAGUAUUUCUCAAUUUCGCAGAGAAGAAGAGAACAGCAGGAGCAGGGUGAAAUUGUCAUCGGAGAUGAAGGGCCUGCUGAUAGACCUCUGGCAGGAGAAUAUUGAAGAUCUAUGUGGAGCCCGAAAUAAACUCCUACGUCUACAUGGAGAUUGCACAGGCCAUGAAGGAAGCUGGGCCCGAGAUUGGAUGGAGAGGUUCGAUGUAAAGUCGAAAACAGAUAUCAAAACAUAUAUCCCUUCUAUUAUCUCCUCCUCGUCAAUGUUGUCCUCUUCGUCAUCAUUCAUGUCCAGCAACAUUAUUAGCUUAUGCAAGAAAAUAUUUUGCUGCUGAAUAACACUCAUAACCAUUACUUUAUUAUUAUUAAUUUUAAUUUUAAGAAUUAAACAAAUUAGCUGAAAAUUUGGUGAUAAAUAUAUAAGUUAACACAUAAGCAAUAACAUGGAACACCCUAACUUAGCGCACAAGAAAUGUGAAAUAUCAUGUGCCGCCCUAACUUAUCCAGUCCGAUACGGAGGGCGCCGAUGCAGUAGAUGCCGUUGCAGCGGGCGGCUCUGUGAUCUGAUUGGGCGCCAGCGAUCGCAUGAUCUUGUUUAUGCGUAGGCGGCUCUUAUCUCUUGUGAGCGCGGACGGCUCGCCGGCUAGGUUUCGGUGUAGGUUUAGAAGUAAGCUUUAGUUUAGAAUUGGACGAAUAAAUGAACGGAGCGUUCAUAUCAACUCCGACACGAGUCGUAAAACGUGUAUUGAUAUAAUCAUAUUGUUGAGCCUUAAGGGCCAACGAAAUAGAGGGCAAUUACCCUCUCAACAUAAUCUUCGGUAGAAGACUCAGUUGCCAACCGCAACCACCGUCCCCCGCUACAAGAGCGGUCCACGGGAACCCGAUCGCUGCCGCCGGAGCCAACGCAACGCAUACCGCAGCUCGGACCAAAUACGACAUUAAGUUAAUUGGCGCCCAACGGGAUUUAGGAUCCACGUCCCCAAGAGCGGACUAAAAAACCGCCAUAAGUUAAUUGGCGCCCAACGGGAUUUAGGAUCCACGUCCCCAAGAGCGGACUAAAAAACGCGCCAUAAAGAUAAUUGGCGCCCAACGGGAUUUAGGAUCCACGUCCCCAAGAAAAAUAACAUGUAAGUGACUGUUCGGAAAAAAUAAAGCUUGUGAGAGAAUUUUGAUCUCCCCUUCGCUGAUCGUUUAUGAGUUGGGACUAUAGAAACAAGGUCGAAUACGACAGCGACGAGAGCCUAGACUUAUUGUACCAGCCACCAGUCAGAACAGUGCAGAAUCAAUUUAAAAUGGACCCAGCCAUGAUAAAAGCGUUAGUAGAAGGCGCAAUCAACACAGCCCUCGUCGAACAGGAACGACGACUGAGUGCAGAAUUUAGCAGGGAACUCGAAAAAGUUAGAAAUAGUGUGAGCGCUCUAACUGUAGGUGUCCCUCAUGUGGAAACUUAUAAGAGAGUGACCAUUGACACUAGUAUAAAAUGUGAAGUGAAACUAGAUAUCAUAAAAUCAGUACCAACUUUCAACGGGAAUCAUGAGGAAUAUGUGUCUUGGAGACAAUCUGCUCUAGAUGCGUACGAAGUUUUCAAAAACUACUCUGGUAGUCAGACACACUACGAGGCUGUGGCCAUCAUAAAAAAUAAAAUCUGUGGAACAGCUCGAGCAUUGCUCACAUCGCACAACACGGUGCUCAAUUUUGAUGCAAUCAUAGCUAGACUCGAUUGCACAUAUGCGGACAAAACAUCCCUACGAGUAUUACGUCAACACUUGGAAAUGGUUAGGCAGGGUGAAACCGAUCUAAUGGAAUAUUAUGACGAAGUCGAGAGAAAGCUCACGCUCGUCACUAACAAAGUGGUCAUGACUCAUAAUGAGGAGGCAGCUACCAUUCUCAACGAGGAAAUUAGGAAUGAUGCUUUACACGCAUUCAUAGCGGGCCU